CCUACGGGGGGCUGCAGUGGGGAAUAUUGGACAAUGGGGGGAACCCUGAUCCAGCCAUGCCGCGUGUGUGAAGAAGGCCCUCGGGUUGUAAAGCACUUUCAGUGAGGAAGAACGCCUGGUGGUUAAUACCCAUCAGGAAAGACAUCACUCACAGAAGAAGCACCGGCUAACUCCGUGCCAGCAGCCGCGGUAAUACGGAGGGUGCGAGCGUUAAUCGGAAUUACUGGGCGUAAAGCGCGCUUAGGUGGCUUGAUAAGCCGGUUGUGAAAGCCCCGGGCUCAACCUGGGAACGGCAUCCGGAACUGUCAAGCUAGAGUGCAGGAGAGGAAGGUAGAAUUCCCGGUGUAGCGGUGAAAUGCGUAGAGAUCGGGAGGAAUACCAGUGGCGAAGGCGGCCUUCUGGACUGACACUGACACUGAGGUGCGAAAGCGUGGGUAGCAAACAGGAUUAGAUACCCGAGUAGUC
This 465-nucleotide ribosomal RNA is filed under the name Vreelandella stevensii. Its description in RNAcentral is "partial 16S ribosomal RNA". It matches the Rfam family "Bacterial small subunit ribosomal RNA", at positions 338 to 795 of the family's 1533-position model. Lineage: Bacteria; Pseudomonadati; Pseudomonadota; Gammaproteobacteria; Oceanospirillales; Halomonadaceae. The record is from RNAcentral.